This 1747-nucleotide long non-coding RNA is filed under the name Mus musculus (house mouse). RNAcentral describes it as "long non-coding RNA chrX:100521407-100523154". Lineage: Eukaryota; Metazoa; Chordata; Mammalia; Rodentia; Muridae. The record is from RNAcentral.
AUUUUCCAUUGAAUGCCCUCUUGACUUCUGAGUCCCGUAAGCGCACUGGCUACUCAAAGCAUGCAUGCUAAAAACUUAUUGUCUACUAGAACCUGGCUCUCCCAAAAGUAUAUAGACUGUGCCUUGGGGACUCAGAGAGCUCAGUGGCUCAGGAGUAACAUUUUCACUGAACCUGGAAAGAUGGAUUUGAGCCAGGCUGGUCCAAGACUGCCGUGGACAAAGAGAGGCCUAACUUAGGGCCGAUUUAGGGUAUAUGUGGUAUGGUCUUUUCAAAAUUGAAGGAAAAUGAACCCUUAAAAAACAAAAAUGACAGGUUCUCCUUAUGUCAUCCAGGAUGGUCUAGACCUCGCAGUGAUCCUCCUGCCUCAGCUUUCUGACUGCUGAGAUUGCAGGCAUUAAUCACUGAGCAUGGCUGGCAAUGAGACCAGAGAACAAAAAUGAGUGGAAAAGGGGGACCAGACCCAGGCUCUCCAAGGCAAAGGCAUCUUUGAAGGUUUGAAAUAGGCCAUCGAUGUGUCUCUCUUCCUUUGUUUUGUUUGUCGCCUCUUAAUUUCCUUUGCAGCAGGAGCUCAUUAGCUAGGCCACGCUAGCCUGGCAUUCAUUGUCUGUACCUGUAAAGAGCAGUCUGUGCUGCCACUAUUGCUGUUGCUGUUUGUUUGCUCUUAGGUUUUCAUUUUGUAAAAAUAGCCAUUGGUAGCAAUCCCUCUAAAGGUCGUGUGAAGACCUGUAAGCAGCAAGCUCCUGAAGCACAGAAAACAAUGAUAAGCUGGAAAGACUCAUUGUUCCCUUUUGCCCCAGGUCAUAGCAGAUUAGUCCAGGAAGCUCUUGAUCCUGGAUAACCACUCGGUACCAUACAAUAGGAAUGCUUAUUCACCCUUGCCUAAACCAGGCACAGGGAGCUAGUGUGCUGGCCUGUUCUAAUAAGUGACCCAGGGACACAUGGUAAAAGCCCCAUCUGGGGUGCCCUGGACCCUCUCAGAUCCCUUGUCCAACCAGCACGCCUACGCCCCCUUUACUACAGUCUAGAUCCAGUGGCCUCAGACACAAAGAGACACAAAGAGGUCGAGGGGCAGUUCCCUGUAACCACCUUCCAGGCUUCUCUCCUGCCCCCUAAGCCUAGCGUAGCCGCAGAGUGCUGUAUUUUUGUACUAUGGUGUCUUCACAUCCUAAGAGCUCAUGUUCUUCACCCCAAAGCCUAGUAGAUCCCACUGUUCCCCCACAGCUGAAGUCCAGCGCCAUGGAACAGCUCUGGGUGCCAGACACCAUGUGAGGGGCUUUCCAAACCUCACAGCAAAAGAAGAGUAGGAUUUUUUUUCUAUUUAGUUGUUUGGGUUUUUUUUUCCUUUGGUUUUGUUUUUUGAGACAAGAUCUUAGGUAUCCCAUACUGGCCUCAAAAUCACUCUGUAGUCAAGGAUAAUCUUGACCUUGCGAUUCUCCUGCCUUUACCUCCCAAGUUUUGGCGAUAUAUGCAUGUGUCAACACACCCAGCUCUGUCUGCUUAAUAUCUUCUACACAAUGAGAAGACUAAGACUUUGGAAGUGUAGCCAUAAUCGCUUGAUCCAGCAUAUUUUAACUUUUUCUUUUAUUUUUGAGAUUAUAACAUUUCUCCCUUUCCUCCCUCCAAAUCUCAUAUACCUCUUCUCUCUCUUUCUGCCUUUCAAAUCCAUGGCCUCGUUUUCCAUUAUCAGUUGUUAUUUAUUUAUAUAUAUAUAUAUAUAUAUUCCCUAAAUAAAACCUGCUCUAUCUG